UUGUACAUAGUAGGCUUUCAUUCACUCGUGUACUUAUACGGUGAGGGUCUACUGUGUGCCAG
Molecule: microRNA precursor, 62 nt
Filed under: Cavia porcellus (domestic guinea pig)
Lineage: Eukaryota; Metazoa; Chordata; Mammalia; Rodentia; Caviidae
Description: Cpo-Mir-493_pre stem-loop
Source: RNAcentral